Neopsephotus bourkii (Bourke's parrot) is the source of this 291-nucleotide long non-coding RNA. RefSeq lists it as uncharacterized. Lineage: Eukaryota; Metazoa; Chordata; Aves; Psittaciformes; Psittacidae. The transcript is spliced from 3 exons. The record is from RefSeq and is a predicted model, not a curated record.
UUUGCAGGAGAUAACAGAAACUGCCAUUCUCAGGCAACUGCAGAAGCUUCUGGAAAUAACUUUGACAUUAUUCCCAAUCUUUGUUACCAAGUAGAUGAUGGGUAGCUGAGAGCCUUCAGAACAGCAAGAUCUUUUCAUCCAGGCCUUGGGUAUGAACUGCCCACUGAAUGGUUUUGACAAUUAUGAGUAGUGUCAUCAUUCCCGAGAGUUAGAAUGCUGACAAUUCAACAGAGUUCUGCUUUGAAUCUGCUUAAUGCCUGUCACUGAAAUCCUCAUGCAGACACACAAGUA